RNAcentral lists this long non-coding RNA (2849 nucleotides) under Heterocephalus glaber (naked mole-rat). RNAcentral describes it as "lncRNA (ENSHGLG00100033439.1)". The record is from RNAcentral. Lineage: Eukaryota; Metazoa; Chordata; Mammalia; Rodentia; Bathyergidae.
GCAGCAGAAAGCCUGGAUCUGAGCCCUCCAAAGUCAGGGGUAUCCUGCUGUAAACCAAAGUGGAACAACAGCAAACUCGAAAACAAUCAGCCUGUUUUUCCACUCUGUUCUCUGAAGCAAUAGAAAAGUUUUAACUUUUGGCCCUCACUUUUUUGUCAGCUCUGCUUGGCUAGGGCUCAAGUCACUGUUGGGUAACCCAGAAGAAUGUGACAUCACUAACCCCAUGACAUCAUUCUAUCUGGCUUGUCAUUACCCUGUGACAUCACCCACCUGCGCAGUGGCAUCCUCACAUCCUGUUCCAUGUCUUGACCCCGUGGAGUCACUUUAUGUGACCUCCUCGCCUGCCCACUGGCCUGGGACAUCUGCCUCUCUGCAGCCCAGUGCCCACCAGGUGGGGAGCUCGUCCGGCCCUGCUCCGCAGGCCCACGCUAGACGCUGCUCCGAGCUCGUGGACGGGCGAUUUCCAGCGCGAAGGCGCUGGUAGGAGGGGUGCGGGUCGCCUGGCGGAGCUCCGCGGUCCGAGGAGGGGGGUCGUAACUGAUGCUGGGCGGGGCGAGCUGGGAGAAGAGGGGAGUCGCGCCCAUUGGCAGGCGCAGGCGUGGGAAAGGACGCCCGCCCGGGUUCACACACCCUGUGGCGGAUGGGCCUUAAAUAGCGGGCGCCGCGCGGGUUGGGCUGGGACCCUGCAGAGGGCGCGGAGCGCUCGGUACUGGGCCGAGGAGCAGCACACCCUGCAAAGAAACCGAGCGCCGUGGGCCUGGGAUUUAACUCAGCGGCGCUGUGUCUGCCUCGCAAGCGCAAGGUCCUGAGUUCGAUCCCCGGUACCAAAAAAAGAAAGAAAGAAGGAAAAAAAGCCGAGCGCCUUGCUGCACACCCCAGACAAGUGCUGCUGCGCGGCGGAGCCCUGCAAGCGCUCCCGCCGCUCGGAACUGGCGAAGACUGACGCCCUGGAGGUGACCGUAGGACGCCUGCGCGACCUGCGCCCCCGCAGGUGACCGGCGAGGCGCGGCCGGGCGUGCUGGGAGGCAGGAGGGGCGAGGGUCUCCGCCGGGGCGUCCCCUCCAGUCCCCGCCGCUCUGCAGCCAGACUCCGCACUGACCUCGCCUUCCUGGGCAAGCGUCGCGCCGCUCCACCGGCCCUGGCCAAGCCGCUUCCUGACCGGCUGCGAGGGCGUCUGCCGUGCCACUUGGCUGCCAGCCUCCCGGCUCUGCGCGAGGCUCCCGCGGUGCCCAAGCUGGGGCUGCAGGCCGGGGCGGGCCCGGGGGGCCGUGGAUGAGCUGCGCCCGGUCCUAGAGUGCGGGCUUGGCCGACUGUACUGAGCCGGAAAACGAUUUCCGAGCAAAAAAGGUUUUUCCUGCGGCUAGCUGACCUAACUGACAAAGAGCCACCCUCAGUUCCCCAAGUGUCUGUAUCCAGUGUACUUGUCUAUCAAAUCAUGUAAAAGAAAUGUAACGUCCUCCACCAAUGAACUGAUGAUAAAUGCCUUGCUUCUGUAUCCCCACUCCCCUUCCUUAACCCAUAUAAACCCUGUUCACUGCCGGCUCCGGGCGGAUCGCUUCGUGGAGAAAUCCUGCUCAGUCCGCCGCGUAAUAAAUUUGGCCCCAGCCUCCGGUGCGUUCUCCAUUCUUCUUGGCCUGGUCUUGCUAUACACUAAGAGCUGCCACACUGUGGACUGUAAGCCUACCGUUAUAGUACCACAGUGUAUUUAACUCCAGAGGCCCGCCUUGUCUUUUUGGGGGUUUUCUUUGUGAAUAGUCUUGUUCCUAAGAGCCUGCACACUCAGUCCCAGGAAGGCUGCGAGUCUCACGCUGGCCCUACGAAACCCUUACCCUAGGCCCCGCCCCUUCCCUAGGCCCCGCCCCUCCGGGCUUUGUCCCGCCCAGCUGGGUCCGCCCUUCCCUGGCACCGCCCCUAGCCCGGGCCUGUUGAAGCUCCGCCUCGGUCCGGGAGAUCUAGAUUUCCAGGUUCACCGAUGGAACCCAGGGCCCACCUUGGGGUGGCCCUAGGGUGUGAUGUUCCAGGAGGCAGGCAGGAAGGUGACAGCCACCAAGCUUUCCAGGAUGUAUCUCAGUGGUGGAAGGUGCUUAAAGGUUCAACUCCAAAUACCAGCCCCCCAAUAAAUACCACCCCUUUCAAAUGUCCAUCACCUGAUGAAUGGAUAGAUUGUGACGUAUCCUUACAACAGGAUAUUAUUUGACAAUAAAAAGGAAUGAGAAACUGGUACAUACUGUUGUGAGACUCUAAAAGACGAGAGACUGGGCGGGGAUUUAGCGCGAGUGGUUCCACGCCAGAUUCACAGGCACAAGGUCCCGAGUUCGAUCCCCGAUACCAAAAAAUAAAUGGGGGGGCUGGGGAUUCAGCUCAGUGGUUUCACUUCCUGCUGCUCAAGCGCAAGGACCCGAGCUCGAUCCCCGUAACAAAAAAAAAAAAAAAAAAAAAAGACAAGAGACUCACGGACUGGAACAGGAGGACUUUAUUUCAGGUUUAAGGUGUACACGGGCUCAACGGACUCCUCCCAAAGGAAGAGCCUUCAACAAAGAGAAGCUCCAGCUUGUGUAUAUUUUGUCGAAGGAGGUGGUGUUUCUAGUGACGUAGCAAUUAGGCAAAAAUAUCUUAGAAGACCAAAAGAAUAACGCAUGAAAGGAAAGUGGACAAAUUUGGCUUCAUCAAAAGUAAGAACUACUGCUGGUGGCACAUGCCUGUAGUCCCAGCUACACACGAGGACAAGACAGAGGGAUCUCAUCGCUUCUCAGCCUUUUGGCUAAGAUCAAGUGAAGACAGAGGGAUCACAAGUUCAAGUCCAGCCUGGGCAAUCUUAGUGUGACACUCUUUCAAAGUAAAAAUUAUAA